This 253-nucleotide ribosomal RNA is filed under the name uncultured bacterium. Its description in RNAcentral is "partial 16S ribosomal RNA". It matches the Rfam family "Bacterial small subunit ribosomal RNA", at positions 524 to 776 of the family's 1533-position model. The record is from RNAcentral.
GACGUAGGAGACGAGCGUUGUCCGGAUUUACUGGGCGUAAAGCGCGCGCAGGCGGCCCCGCAGGUCGGGCGUGAAAGCCCCCGGCUCAACCGGGCGGAGGCGAGCGAAACCGCGGGGCUGGAGGCUGGCAGAGGGUGGUGGAAUUCCCGGUGUAGUGGUGAAAUGCGUAGAGAUCGGGAGGAACACCCGCGGCGAAGGCGGCCACCUGGACCAGGCCUGACGCUGAGGCGCGAAAGCCGGGGGAGCGAACGGG